UGUCGUGAUAGUAAUUCAACCCAAUAUGAGAAGAACCAUUAAUUCACACAAUUGAUCAUUGUGUUUGGUUGAAAAGCCAGUGGCAUGAAGCUACAGUGUGACAGAUUAUUACUGAACACCUCUAAGUCAGACUCCUGGCUAAGUAUGUGACA
Molecule: non-coding RNA, 152 nt
Filed under: Nelumbo nucifera (sacred lotus)
Lineage: Eukaryota; Viridiplantae; Streptophyta; Magnoliopsida; Proteales; Nelumbonaceae
Description: Eukaryotic large subunit ribosomal RNA
Rfam family: Eukaryotic large subunit ribosomal RNA
Source: Rfam by way of RNAcentral